Molecule: transfer RNA, 72 nt
Filed under: Camelus dromedarius (Arabian camel)
Lineage: Eukaryota; Metazoa; Chordata; Mammalia; Artiodactyla; Camelidae
Also listed under: 2 other names
Rfam family: tRNA
About the family: Transfer RNA (tRNA) molecules are approximately 80 nucleotides in length.
Source: Rfam by way of RNAcentral
GAGGGUAUAGCUCAGUGGUAGAGUGAUUGUUUAGCAUGCAGGAGGCCCUGGGUUCAAUCCCCAGUACCUCUA